GACGAACGCUGGCGGCGUGCUUAACACAUGCAAGUCGAACGGAAAGGCCCUGCUUUUGUGGGGUGCUCGAGUGGCGAACGGGUGAGUAACACGUGAGUAACCUGCCCUUGACUUUGGGAUAACUUCAGGAAACUGGGGCUAAUACCGGAUAGGAGCUCCUGCUGCAUGGUGGGGGUUGGAAAGUUUCGGCGGUUGGAGAUGGACUCGCGGCUUAUCAGCUUGUUGGUGGGGUAGUGGCUUACCAAGGCUUUGACGGGUAGCCGGCCUGAGAGGGUGACCGGCCACAUUGGGACUGAGAUACGGCCCAGACUCCUACGGGAUGCAGCAGUGGGGAAUAUUGCACAAUGGGCGGAAGCCUGAUGCAGCAACGCCGCGUGCGGGAUGACGGCCUUCGGGUUGUAAACCGCUUUCGCCUGUGACGAAGCGUGAGUGACGGUAAUGGGUAAAGAAGCACCGGCUAACUACGUG
This 468-nucleotide ribosomal RNA is filed under the name uncultured bacterium. Its description in RNAcentral is "partial 16S ribosomal RNA". It matches the Rfam family "Bacterial small subunit ribosomal RNA", at positions 28 to 507 of the family's 1533-position model. The record is from RNAcentral.